AUGCCGCUGCGUCGUCGGGGAAAUUCGGGCUACCACGGCGUCCGCGCACGCCCCUCCGGCUCAUUCUCCGCUGAGAUCCGGUCUGAUGAGAUGCGCCUCGGCCUCGGCACAUUCGACACCGCUCACGAUGCCGCCCGCUUGUACGACGCGACGGCGUGGCUCCUCCGGCGGUCUCGUAGGGAGAUGAACUUCCCCAACAUGGCGACGCGGGAGCUGGCGCACGAGCUCGCACUUCCCCCGCGGCUUGUCACCGACAAGGACCGUCGUGACAACCGGAGGCGGGAGCGCCGGCUCGACAUCACCGAGAUGGACGAGGAGGCCAUGUCGCUGUGGCGCCAACACUUUUCGGAGGACGUCAUCAACGAGCGUGAAUUCUAUGUGCAAAGGAGGCCAGAGCGAACCGCCUAUCGCGAGGACAGGCGUACGCGGAAGGCGGACGCGCUCUUCAACAUCGAGCUCAAAGAAGCGUCGACCUGGGAUUCCAACGAUGAACGACGGAUUGACACCUUCAUUACGACAUCGGAGGAAAAGGAGGAGGACAUCACCGAGUCGAAGUCGAAAGAGGAGGACGACGACGAGUAG
This 582-nucleotide ribosomal RNA is filed under the name Triticum aestivum (bread wheat). RNAcentral's name for it is "partial small subunit ribosomal RNA". The record is from RNAcentral. Lineage: Eukaryota; Viridiplantae; Streptophyta; Magnoliopsida; Poales; Poaceae.